RNAcentral lists this ribosomal RNA (430 nucleotides) under uncultured bacterium. RNAcentral describes it as "partial 16S ribosomal RNA". It matches the Rfam family "Bacterial small subunit ribosomal RNA", at positions 354 to 796 of the family's 1533-position model. The record is from RNAcentral.
GUGGGGAAUAUUGCACAAUGGGCGCAAGCCUGAUGCAGCAACGCCGCGUGCGGGAUGACGGCCUUCGGGUUGUAAACCGCUUUCAGCAGGGACGAAGCGAAAGUGACGGUACCUGCAAAAGAAGCACCGGCUAACUACGUGCCAGCAGCCGCGGUGAUACGUAGGGUGCGAGCGUUGGCCGGAUUUAUUGGGCGUAAAGAGCUUGUAGGCGGUCAGUCGCGUCGUAAGUGCACACUCAGGGCUUAACCCUGAGCCUGCUUUCGAUACGGGCCGACUAGAGGAAGGUAGGGGAGAAUGGAAUUCCGGGUGGAGCGGUGGAAUGCGCAGAUAUCGGGAGGAACACCAGUGGCGAAGGCGGUUCUCUGGACCUUUCCUGACGCUGAGAAGCGAAAGCGUGGGGAGCAAACAGGCUUAGAUACCCCUGUAGUCC